UACGGAGGGUGCAAACGUUGCUCGGAAUCAUUGGGCGUAAAGCGCACGUAGGCGGCCGACUAAGUCGGGUGUGAAAGCCCUGGGCUCAACCCAGGAAGUGCACUCGAAACUGACCGGCUUGAAUAUGGAAGAGGGUUGCGGAAUUCCCGGUGUAGAGGUGAAAUUCGUAGAUAUCGGGAGGAACACCAGUGGCGAAGGCGGCAACCUGGGCCAAUAUUGACGCUGAGGUGCGAAAGCGUGGGGAGCAAACAGG
Molecule: ribosomal RNA, 253 nt
Filed under: uncultured bacterium
Lineage: Bacteria
Description: partial 16S ribosomal RNA
Rfam family: Bacterial small subunit ribosomal RNA
Source: RNAcentral